UGGCUUACCUCCNUCAGUUAUGCGUCAUGACUUGUAUCGUCUUGAGCGUAUUGUGGGUUUCCUGUGUUGCAUACCUAAUAAUGGAAUCGUUUUGGUUGAUUGAAGUCCCUUUUCAUCACGUGUUGCCUUUGCGAUGCAUGAUGAACCUCGAAGCGGUCUCUAUGUUCCACCACGUUGAUGCUAGUGUCUUGAUGUUGUGGCCCAUUGAGUGUUGCUUGGUUUUGUGGAUACAGAACAUGAUUUGGGCAUAGGGUCACCUGUGACUCUUGUUUUGUCCUUUAUCAGUGUUCUCUAUAACGACGGUUCAUGCGCGCCUAGGCUCGUACCUGCGCGAUGUUCUUUGUCGAAGAGGAAUGCUACCUGGUUGAUCC
Molecule: unclassified non-coding RNA, 371 nt
Filed under: Senecio hypoleucus
Lineage: Eukaryota; Viridiplantae; Streptophyta; Magnoliopsida; Asterales; Asteraceae
Description: partial contains external transcribed spacer and 18S ribosomal RNA
Source: RNAcentral